CUGGCGGCAGGCCGUAACACAUGCAAGUCGAACGGUAACAGGAAGAAGCUUGCUCUUUGCUGACGAGUGGCGGACGGGUGAGUAAUGUCUGGGAAACUGCCUGAUGGAGGGGGAUAACUACUGGAAACGGUAGCUAAUACCGCAUAACGUCGCAAGACCAAAGAGGGGGACCUUCGGGCCUCUUGCCAUCGGAUGUGCCCAGAUGGGAUUAGCUAGUAGGUGGGGUAACGGCUCACCUAGGCGACGAUCCCUAGCUGGUCUGAGAGGAUGACCAGCCACACUGGAACUGAGACACGGUCCAGACUCCUACGGGAGGCAGCAGUGGGGAAUAUUGCACAAUGGGCGCAAGCCUGAUGCAGCCAUGCCGCGUGUAUGAAGAAGGCCUUCGGGUUGUAAAGUACUUUCAGCGGGGAGGAAGGGAGUAAAGUUAAUACCUUUGCUCAUUGACGUUACCCGCAGAAGAAGCACCGGCUAACUCCGUGCCAGCCGCAGC
This 493-nucleotide ribosomal RNA is filed under the name uncultured bacterium. RNAcentral's name for it is "bacterial SSU rRNA". It matches the Rfam family "Bacterial small subunit ribosomal RNA", at positions 36 to 518 of the family's 1533-position model. The record is from RNAcentral.